AUCGUGGUGCACCGUGAAGGGUCUUUGGGCGUUUUACACAUGCAAGCAAGUGUUCUAUAAUUUAGGUUAUGGAACAGCCAAAUGGUCAGUACAGCUCAGUCCUAGGCGAUGGACUCCGUAAAACGGGGACAGACUAUCCUUUAAUAAUUAAUAGGUUUAUUAUUUCAAUAAUAAUCUCUAGGAAGGGAUAUACAUAUAUCCUUAUUAGUCUAAAGGUUGAUAAACCGCCUUAGUCAGGACUGAGUUCUCAACAGCUACGGGUUAAACCCCAGGCAACGACGAGUAGGGGAUAGUGAUAGCUACAACCCCGACACUGGCCGCAAGCCAGGGUACUUAAGUACGCAGCAGUGAAGAAUCCUCGGCAAUGCAUCGCAAUUACCGGUGACCCAAUAUAAAAUAAUAUCAGGGAGGUAGUAGGUGUGACCGGGUGACCCAAAGACGAGUAGUGACAUAAGUUAUUAUUCGCGUAUGUCGAACAUGAUAGUGACGUGUUCAACAUCAAGCCCCGUCCAACCUCUGUGCCAGCAGUCGCGGUAAAACAGGAGGGGCAGCUCUUAUGGUCAUGAAUGGGCGUAUAGGGCACGCAGCCAGUUAGUAAAAGCUUGAAUAUUCAUUUUUUAAAAAGAAUGUUUGAGAGGCUAUGAGUUUUUAUAAAGUGUACCCACGACACCAGACUUAGGGCUGAGAUCCUAUGAAGUCUGGGGGCGGUCCUUUAGGGUGCAUUGUAAAAACUGACGGUAAGGUGCGACAGCUGGGAUACCGAAGCGGAGUAGAGCCCGCCUAGCCCCAGCCGUAAACGAUAGGGGCCGUUGUUGACUACGGUUUUCAAUAAGGCUAACGCCUGAGCCCCUCGCCUGUAGGGUAUAGCCGCAAGGCCGACAUAUUAACGAUGAGACCGCUGGUGAGCAAACGGGUGCGGGGCAUGCUGUUCAAUCAGACAGUACGCUGACAACCUUACCACUCCUUGAAUCUUUUAGAUUAUAUUUCUAAAAUGACAGGUGCUGCAUGGCCGUCGUCAGUUCGUGGUCGUGAGUCGUCCGGUUGAGUCCAUGAACGAACGCAGACCCGUCUGUAUACUCAGUGAAAAGAAAUUUAGCUGAACUAUACAGUUGUACUUCUAUAAAAGGUACCUGUACGGGAUUAUGACAGGUCGUCAUGGCCUUUAUGGAGUGGGCUACAGGCGUGCCACACGAGCCGUUUUAACGAGUUCCUCAUUUUUAUGAAUAAGGUCUCUUAAUCACGGCUAGUAUACGGAUCGUAGGCUGUAACUCGCCUACGUGAAGUCGGAGUCCCGAGUAAUCGCCGAUCAUCACGCGGCGGUGAAUCUACACUCUCACUGGGGUACUAACCGCUCGUCACGGGCUAGUAUGCCGGCACUAGUAAAGCAGAAUUUGGAAGGAUU
This 1402-nucleotide ribosomal RNA is filed under the name Papiliotrema laurentii RY1. RNAcentral describes it as "bacterial SSU rRNA". It matches the Rfam family "Bacterial small subunit ribosomal RNA". The record is from RNAcentral. Lineage: Eukaryota; Fungi; Basidiomycota; Tremellomycetes; Tremellales; Rhynchogastremaceae.